UGAGGCUGGUGGGGGGAGGCUGAGGGUGGUGAGGCUGGUGGGGGGUGGGAGCCUCCCCCCACCAGUCUCACCACCCUCAGCCUCCCACCCCCC
Pelobates cultripes (western spadefoot toad) is the source of this 93-nucleotide non-coding RNA. NCBI's taxonomy places the organism in Eukaryota, Metazoa, Chordata, Amphibia, Anura, Pelobatidae. The record is from the annotation of a GenBank genome assembly.